Long non-coding RNA from Momordica charantia (bitter melon), 600 nucleotides. RefSeq lists it as uncharacterized. The record is from RefSeq and is a predicted model, not a curated record. Lineage: Eukaryota; Viridiplantae; Streptophyta; Magnoliopsida; Cucurbitales; Cucurbitaceae.
GCAGGUUUGUUACAUAUUCGAGCGACAUGGGCGAAAGAAAUCGACUCGAAGGAUAGAGAUACCUAUCACACUUCCAUCAACAGGUUCAGUUCAUCACCUCAGGUAUAAAUUUAAUCUUUAAGCAACCGAAUUGUCAGGAGGGAGUCGGAUUCAACUUCAAGAUGAUUGCAAUUCAUAGAUCGAGCAAACCGCAGACCUUCCAAAAUUCCUUUAAUUUCAGCAAGCAGUGUGGUGGAAGGGAAUGAGGAACGAAGACAGAUUUGGCCGCUACCAAAACGCCAUCAGACCUGAGCAAAAAAAACCCCAGACCCGAAGAAGAAGGUCUACAUGAAGCAUCAGUAUUGAGCUUCAAAUGGCCUUCACACGGAGGGUCCCAAAUCUGGCACUGGGAAAGAAAUUUGCUUUCCAUGAACCGUUGAAUUUUGAUCGCACCAAAUUGCCCAACAGGGUACUAAGGUAGAGAGUGGAAAAGUGUCUGCCAAAACUUUCGAGCUCACUUGCACUGAAAAAGCGCAUGGAAGAUACUUUCUGGCUUGGAAUAGCGGAGGGAACAAAUAGUUAACAAAUCUAAACCUCUGGACUGCAGAAUCUGCCGUUGGA